AGUCCUAGAAAAGGAGCUGAAGCCUUAGAGGGCCUGUAACAGGAAGGGGGAAACUUCUCUCAUCCUAGAUCUGUCUCUCCAGCCCUAGAAACUACUGGCUGUCUAAGCCCUCCUGCAGUCUGUUACAACACAGCAACCGAGUCUUACACUGUUGUCCGGCCUGGAGUGCAAUGGCGCGAUUUUGGCUCACUGCAACCUCCGCCUCCCGGGUUCAUGCAAUUCUCCUGCCUCAACCUCUCAAAUAGCUGGGACUACAGGUGCAUACCACCAUACCGGCUAAUUUUUUGUAUUUUUAGUAGAGUCAGGGUUUCACUAUGUCGGCUAGACUGGUCUUGAACUCCUGACCUCGUGAUCCACCCACCUCGGCCUCUCAAAGUGCUGGGAUUAUAGGCGUGAGCCACCACGCCUGGCCUCAUGAUACAUUUUCUAUGCCAGAAAUAAAAACAGUGCGUGGGAACGCACAGACGUGUGCACACACGAAGAGCAGCUAAAGACAACGUACUGUGAAAAUCGGUGCCCUCACCAUCCCUCUGCCAGCAUAUUUGGCUUCAUAAGCGAGCUAUAAUUAACAAAAAUUAGAUACCAAAACAAAAAUUGAUCGACUCAAAUCACCACUGUAAAAUGUACAAGGCAAAGGACUCACCUCAUCUCACUGCAAGCGAUUUCAGGAGAAGAAAAUAAAUCUAGAAACCAUGUGUUAAAGGAUGUUCUCACUGCUUUGAGGUUUUUUUUUUUUGAUUUUUCAGAUGGAGUCUCACCCAGACUGGAGUAUAGUGGUACCAUAUUGGCUCACUGAAACCUUCACCUCCUGGGUUCAAGGGAUUCUCUAGUCUCAGCCUCCCAAAUAGCUGGGACUACAGGUGCACACCACCACACCCAGCUAAUUUUUGUAUAUUUAGUAGAGACAGGGUUUCACCAUGUUAGCCAGGCUGAUCUCAAACUCCUGACCUCAAGUGAUCCGCCUGCCUUGGCCUCCCAAAGUGCUGGGAUUAGUGGCACGAGCCAACAUACCCAGCCCUUGCUUUGAGCUUAUUUCCAUACUGCACCUCCUGAUAUGCAAUAUGUGUGUGCCCAGAUUCCAGGAUGAGUCGUUCUACACAGCCUGAAAUUCAGGCAGUCUUUGAAAGAGCAUAAACCAAAACAUCUGGCAUUAAUACUGGAAAUGUCUGUGUUGCUUUUUUGACCACUAUAGAUCUGUGCUUAAAGAUCGCUGUUCUGAUAUGAUCUUUAACUGGUUAAUUAGUAUACAGAUUCAUGGAAAUCCUCCACUCAGAAGAGCAUUACCUUUCUAAAUCAUCCCAGAAUAGCUUAUCUGUAAAUUUGAGCACAGAUUGUUUUCUGCCACAUGUUAGAAAUGGUUUAACUGCCCUA
Non-coding RNA from Callithrix jacchus (white-tufted-ear marmoset), 1371 nucleotides. Lineage: Eukaryota; Metazoa; Chordata; Mammalia; Primates; Cebidae. The record is from RefSeq and is a predicted model, not a curated record.